This 440-nucleotide ribosomal RNA is filed under the name uncultured bacterium. RNAcentral describes it as "partial 16S ribosomal RNA". It matches the Rfam family "Bacterial small subunit ribosomal RNA", at positions 338 to 795 of the family's 1533-position model. The record is from RNAcentral.
CCUACGGGUGGCAGCAGUGGGGAAUAUUGCACAAUGGGGGAAACCCUGAUGCAGCAACGCCGCGUGAGUGAAGAAGUAUUUCGGUAUGUAAAGCUCUAUCAGAAGGGAAGAAGAUGACGGUGCCUGAGUAAGAAGCCCCGGCUAACUACGUGCCCGCAGCCGCGGGAAUACGUAGGGGGCAAGCGUCGUCCGGAUUUACUGGGUGUAAAGGGGGCGUAGAAGGUGAGUCAAGUCUGAAGUGAAAUCCCGGGGCUCAACCCCGGGACUGCUUUGGAAACUGCCUGACUGGAGUGCUGGAGAGGCAAGCGGAAUUCCUAGUGUAGCGGUGAAAUGCGUAGAUAUUAGGAGGAACACCAGUGGAGAAGGCGGCUUGCUGGACAGUAACUGACGUUGAGGCUCGAAAGCGUGGGGAGCAAACAGGAUUAGAUACCCGGGUAGUC